This 468-nucleotide ribosomal RNA is filed under the name uncultured bacterium. RNAcentral's name for it is "partial 16S ribosomal RNA". It matches the Rfam family "Bacterial small subunit ribosomal RNA", at positions 28 to 507 of the family's 1533-position model. The record is from RNAcentral.
GACGAACGCUGGCGGCGUGCUUAACACAUGCAAGUCGAACGGAAAGGCCCUGCUUUUGUGGGGUGCUCGAGUGGCGAACGGGUGAGUAACACGUGAGUAACCUGCCCUUGACUUUGGGAAAACUUCAGGAAACUGGGGCUAAUACCGGAUAGGAGCUCCUGCUGCAUGGUGGGGGUUGGAAAGUUUCGGCGGUUGGGGAUGGACUCGCGGCUUAUCAGCUUGUUGGUGGGGUAGUGGCUUACCAAGGCUUUGACGGGUAGCCGGCCUGAGAGGGUGACCGGCCACAUUGGGACUGAGAUACGGCCCAGACUCCUACGGGAGGCAGCAGUGGGGAAUAUUGCACAAUGGGCGGAAGCCUGAUGCAGCAACGCCGCGUGCGGGAUGACGGCCUUCGGGUUGUAAACCGCUUUCGCCUGUGACGAAGCGUGAGUGACGGUAAUGGGUAAAGAAGCACCGGCUAACUACGUG